CCUACGGGAGGCACCAGUGGGGAAUAUUGCACAAUGGGCGCAAGCCUGAUGCAGCCAUGCCGCGUGUAUGAAGAAGGCCUUCGGGUUGUAAAGUACUUUCAGCGAGGAGGAAGGCAUUAAGGUUAAUAACCUUGGUGAUUGACGUUACUCGCAGAAGAAGCACCGGCUAACUCCGUGCCAGCAGCCGCGGUAAUACGGAGGGUGCAAGCGUUAAUCGGAAUUACUGGGCGUAAAGCGCACGCAGGCGGUCUGUCAAGUCGGAUGUGAAAUCCCCGGGCUCAACCUGGGAACUGCAUUCGAAACUGGCAGGCUAGAGUCUUGUAGAGGGGGGUAGAAUUCCAGGUGUAGCGGUGAAAUGCGUAGAGAUCUGGAGGAAUACCGGUGGCGAAGGCGGCCCCCUGGACAAAGACUGACGCUGAGGCGCGAAAGCUAGGGGAGCGAACGGGAUUAGAUACCCCAGUAGUC
RNAcentral lists this ribosomal RNA (465 nucleotides) under uncultured bacterium. RNAcentral describes it as "bacterial SSU rRNA". It matches the Rfam family "Bacterial small subunit ribosomal RNA", at positions 338 to 795 of the family's 1533-position model. The record is from RNAcentral.